UACGUAGGGUGCAAGCGUUGUCCGGAAUUAUUGGGCGUAAAGAGCUCGUAGGCGGUCUGUCGCGUCGGCUGUGAAAUCCCGAGGCUCAACCUCGGGUCUGCAGUCGAUACGGGCAAACUAGAGUAUUGCAGGGGAGACUGGAAUUCCUGGUGCAGCGGUGAAAUGCGUAGAUAUCGAGAGGAACACCUGCGGCGAAGGCGGGUUGCUGGGCCGACACUGACGCUGAGGCGCGAAAGCCAGGGGAGCGAACGGG
This 253-nucleotide ribosomal RNA is filed under the name uncultured bacterium. Its description in RNAcentral is "partial 16S ribosomal RNA". It matches the Rfam family "Bacterial small subunit ribosomal RNA", at positions 524 to 776 of the family's 1533-position model. The record is from RNAcentral.